This 497-nucleotide ribosomal RNA is filed under the name uncultured bacterium. RNAcentral's name for it is "partial 16S ribosomal RNA". It matches the Rfam family "Bacterial small subunit ribosomal RNA", at positions 28 to 507 of the family's 1533-position model. The record is from RNAcentral.
GAUGAACGCUGGCGGCGUGCCUAAUACAUGCAAGUCGAGCGAACAGACGAGGAGCUUGCUCCUCUGACGUUAGCGGCGGACGGGUGAGUAACACGUGGAUAACCUACCUAUAAGACUGGGAUAACUUCGGGAAACCGGAGCUAAUACCGGAUAAUAUAUUGAACCGCAUGGUUCAAUAGUGAAAGACGGUUUUGCUGUAACUUAUAGAUGGAUCCGCGCCGCAUUAGCUAGUUGGUAAGGUAACGGCUUACCAAGGCGACGAUGCGUAGCCGACCUGAGAGGGUGAUCGGCCACACUGGAGCUGAGACACGGUCCAGACUCCUACGGGAGGCAGCAGUAGGGAAUCUUCCGCAAUGGGCGAAAGCCUGACGGAGCAACGCCGCGUGAGUGAUGAAGGUCUUCGGAUCGUAAAACUCUGUUAUUAGGGAAGAACAAAUGUGUAAGUAACUAUGCACGUCUUGACGGUACCUAAUCAGAAAGCCACGGCUAACUACGUG